UACGUAGGAUGCAAGCGUUGUCCGGAUUUACUGGGCGUAAAGAGCGUGUAGGCGGCCAGGUAGGUCAGCUGUGAAAACUCGAGGCUCAACCUCGAGACGUCGGUUGAAACCACCUGGCUAGAGUCCGGAAGAGGAGAGUGGAAUUCCUGGUGUAGCGGUGAAAUGCGCAGAUAUCAGGAAGAACACCCGUGGCGAAGGCGGCUCUCUGGGACGGUACUGACGCUGAGACGCGAAAGCGUGGGGAGCGAACAGG
RNAcentral lists this ribosomal RNA (253 nucleotides) under uncultured bacterium. RNAcentral describes it as "partial 16S ribosomal RNA". It matches the Rfam family "Bacterial small subunit ribosomal RNA", at positions 524 to 776 of the family's 1533-position model. The record is from RNAcentral.